AGAACACCAACCCGCCAAGAAAACUGGAACGAAGAGGAGAAGAUGUGAUACGGGAACAUCGAGCCUAAACUGAGAGCAGCCGGAUGUGGAUCCCUGUGUUGGCGCGAGUGGCAGGAACCUCAAGUCUCUCCAAGUGCUCCGCCUGUCUUUGCUUUCCAACCCCACCGGUCCUCCAGAGCAUCACGUGAGAACACCAACCCGCCAAGAAAACUGGAACGAAGAGGAGAAGAUGUGAUACGGGAACAUCGAGCCUAAACUGAGAGCAGCCGGAUGUGGAUCCCUGUGUUGGCGCGAGUGGCAGGAACCUCAAGUCUCUCCAAGUGCUCCGCCUGUCUUUGCUUUCCAACCCCACCGGUCCUCCAGAGCAUCACGUGAGAACACCAACCCGCCAAGAAAACUGGAACGAAGAGGAGAAGAUGUGAUACGGGAACAUCGAGCCUAAACUGAGAGCAGCCGGAUGUGGAUCCCUGUGUUGGCGCGAGUGGCAGGAACCUCAAGUCUCUCCAAGUGCUCCGCCUGUCUUUGCUUUCCAACCCCACCGGUCCUCCAGAGCAUCACGUGAGAACACCAACCCGCCAAGAAAACUGGAACGAAGAGGAGAAGAUGUGAUACGGGAACAUCGAGCCUAAACUGAGAGCAGCCGGAUGUGGAUCCCUGUGUUGGCGCGAGUGGCAGGAACCUCAAGUCUCUCCAAGUGCUCCGCCUGUCUUUGCUUUCCAACCCCACCGGUCCUCCAGAGCAUCACGUGAGAACACCAACCCGCCAAGAAAACUGGAACGAAGAGGAGAAGAUGUGAUACGGGAACAUCGAGCCUAAACUGAGAGCAGCCGGAUGUGGAUCCCUGUGUUGGCGCGAGUGGCAGGAACCUCAAGUCUCUCCAAGUGCUCCGCCUGUCUUUGCUUUCCAACCCCACCGGUCCUCCAGAGCAUCACGUGAGAACACCAACCCGCCAAGAAAACUGGAACAAAGAGGAGAAGAUGUGAUACGGGAACAUCGAGCCUAAACUGAGAGCAGCCGGAUGUGGAUCCCUGUGUUGGCGCGAGUGGCAGGAACCUCAAGUCUCUCCAAGUGCUCCGCCUGUCUUUGCUUUCCAACCCCACCGGUCCUCCAGAGCAUCACGUGAGAACACCAACCCGCCAAGAAAACUGGAACGAAGAGGAGAAGAUGUGAUACGGGAACAUCGAGCCUAAACUGAGAGCAGCCGGAUGUGGAUCCCUGUGUUGGCGCGAGUGGCAGGAACCUCAAGUCUCUCCAAGUGCUCCGCCUGUCUUUGCUUUCCAACCCCACCGGUCCUCCAGAGCAUCACGUGAGAACACCAACCCGCCAAGAAAACUGGAACGAAGAGGAGAAGAUGUGAUACGGGAACAUCGAGCCUAAACUGAGAGCAGCCGGAUGUGGAUCCCUGUGUUGGCGCGAGUGGCAGGAACCUCAAGUCUCUCCAAGUGCUCCGCCUGUCUUUGCUUUCCAACCCCACCGGUCCUCCAGAGCAUCACGUGAGGUAGGUCCGUGCUCCCAGAGCAGAUCUCCAGGGCUGGGUGUUCAGCAGCCCUAGGCCUCCACCCGCCUCCCCGUUUCCGUUUCUCUUCCUCCCUCCGGUGAGCUCGGGUGCGGGAAGGGCCUGCCGGGUCCCUCCGGAUCACGGCUUUGGUACGUCACCCUUCACCUUGAGGUGACGGCCUGCCGCGGCAGCCUCCUCUCCUGCUUCUCUUCCAGGAUCUGGUGUAGUUGUUGUAUUUCCACACUGUAUGAAUGUACGCAUGUAUGUGGUUUUCGGAGGAGGUUUCUGCCUCCCCUCUCACACUGCCUGCCGUCUUUAAUCCCACCAAGCCAUCUUUAAUUUUUUUUUUUUUUUCUUUUUCAGUUUCAGUUUCACUUGGAUAGGGUACCUUUUCCCACCCCUUCAACUUGUAGUUUGUCUGUGUGCUUGGAUCUCAAGUGAGCCUCCUGUAAGGGAGCACGUAGGCGGUCUUGAGUUUUCAUCCAUUCAUUCAACCCUGUGUCUUUUGUUUGGAGCAUUUAAAGUCUUUCCCUUUACUGUGAUAAUUGAUAGCUGUGUCCUUAUGGCACUUCUUCAACUUGAUUUCUGUCUCCUUUUCGCUUGUAGUUCUUCUCUGUGCUUUCAUCGUUGCUCUCCUGGUUAUGAGCGAUAGGUUUGUUGAGUAUUAUGCUUUCUUACCUGUCUGUCUUGUCUGUCUGUCUGUCUGUCUGUCUGUCUGUCUAUCUGUCUAUCUUAUCUAUCUGAUCUCUCUACUCUCAUCUAUCUACUGUCAUCUCUGUGUCUAUCUAUCCAAACUAUCUAAUCUACCACCUAUCUGUCUGUUAUCUGUCAUCUAUAUGUAUCUAUAUCAAUGUGGCUAUCUAACCUAUAUGUAUCUAUAUCAUCUAUCUAGUCUGUCAUCUUAUCAAUCUAUCUACCUGUCAUCUAUCUAUGUGUAUCUAUAGGUGUCUGUCUAAUCUGUCCACCUGAUCUAUCAUGUAUCAUCUAUCUAAUCUGUCUGUCUGCCUAGUCUGUCUAAUCUCUCUAUAUGUAUCUAUAUGGUCUAUGUAACCUAUCAUUCUAUCUCAUCUGUCAGUCUGAUCUAAUCUAUCCAUCUAUCUCAUGUAUCUGUCUCAAUCUAUCUAUGUGUUUAUUUAUUUUGUCCAUUUUUGUCAACGUACCGUCACUAGGCGCGCAGUCAUUCCUCUGUCUCCUUCUCAGUCUUGAUUCCUUGUGUUUGUUUCUGUGAGUUAGCUAUGUCUUUGGGUCUUGAGAGGAGUGGCCAUGGGUUGGAACACCUGGGUAGGUGGCCCGAGUCCGCUGGGUGUAGAUGGCCGGCUGGACUCUCUAACCAGUGCGGGCUGGGGCCCUCCGGGUGCUCUGCCCUGGGGCUGGCCCUGCCGGGGCGGCUGCGUGAGCUGCGGGGCAGAUCCGAGGCCCCACACAGGGAGCACCCCGGCCGGCCUGCUGGGGCCGAGGCAGGUGCACGCCCAGUAGUAGGUCUGUGUGCCUGCGCGCCGAUGUCACCUGGGUGGCCCUGCUUGGCCGCCCAUCUCCAGAGAGCAUGUGUAGUCGCAGGUUCAGUGAGCCGCCUUCUUGGGGACACGCGGGGCUGGUGUGGGCUAGUGGCCCGUGGGCUUGCUGAGGUGGCAGGCCAGCUAGCUCGCGGGGAAACUGCUCCCCUCUGUUGUCAAGGUGGAGGUGGAGUUUCAGUGCAUUUAGGCAUUUAGAUGUGAGUGAGGUCUAUCUGAAAUGGAAUAGUAGCAUUUAGAGCUGUGUUUUCUGUUGGUGUGGAAAGGGUGCUGAGCAUAAAGAGUUGGGUGGCGGUGGCAGGAAUUCGAGGAAUGUUGAUGUCCUUGCAUUUAUUUAUGUUCUGUUAAGGGAAGUGAUUCUGAAGUAACUUUUUACUCAUGUAUGAAGGUGGUGCGUAAGGGUCACCCCACGUCAGUCAUGGUGAGAUGAAGUGAGGUGGUAGAAUUAAAGCCUGUACCCCUUGGCCUUAUACGUAGGAGACGCACCGUGGGUGCUCUUUGCUGCUCUCCUGUCCUGGCUUAUUGCCUUAACUAACGUGAUGGUUCAGAGUGGUCCCAGCGAGAUUUCCAGCAAAAUCUUUCUACAAUUGCAUA
Manis pentadactyla (Chinese pangolin) is the source of this 3603-nucleotide long non-coding RNA. RefSeq lists it as uncharacterized. The record is from RefSeq and is a predicted model, not a curated record. Lineage: Eukaryota; Metazoa; Chordata; Mammalia; Pholidota; Manidae. The transcript has 16 exons.